Pelobates cultripes (western spadefoot toad) is the source of this 872-nucleotide non-coding RNA. The record is from the annotation of a GenBank genome assembly. Lineage: Eukaryota; Metazoa; Chordata; Amphibia; Anura; Pelobatidae.
GCUUAAUAUAGUAUUAGACACCACAAACUCAUAACACCUAUGAAUCAUGGCACAGACCGACUCGAUUUCUGUAGCCUCUGGCUGGUCUGUGUGCCUGGAAUUUUCACAAACAUUAGUCCUGGAAACUGGAUACUCUAUUCUUCGACAGUCUCAUAGAACAUACGCAUGGAGACAGGGAUGAAUGAAACAGUUCUUGUGAUCAAGGACUUUUGUGUGUUUGUGGUCACAUUGUUUUGUUUUUUCUUUCUUUAUACCAUUAGCCACCUUGACGUAACAGUGUCCUGCUCCUGAUGCAUUUGUUCCAACUCUCACCACUCUUAGCUGCAAUAUUUUUUCUCCUUACAGCAACAGUUGAGCAUAGUGUCCAGUGCUUCUUCUUCUUCAGCUUAAAAUAUCCUUGCUUGAAAGUUCUUGAAUGAAAACACAGGCAAUGACGAACACAAACAUAAAUAAUAACUGUGCCAAUCAUCACAAGUACCAUUUGACUGUGGUGUCUUAACCAUAUUUUUUCCUAUGGCGUUUGGAUAAAUACCUACACACCUCUCUUCACAUCCAGCACACUCCUGAUUCACAGAUAAACACAAUAUCACUGCUGUAUCUACCAAUUUAACCCAAACACUCGUUAUUACUGCUGCAUACCAAUUUAAUCUAAACACUCGUUAUCACUGCUGUAUUUAACCAAUUUAAUCUAAACAUUAACCAAAACAAUUACAUUCCUAUUUACCACCCUUCUAUUUAAACAUGUAUAGAUAACCCAAAAUGCCUACUUUCUCUUAUCCCUCUUAUCAUACUUCCGUUUUUUGUUUUUUUUGAACUGCAACCACUCAUGCACUUUACACAGACACAAAUCAAGCACCUACUGGACAAUGGGG